AACGUUUCGAAAGGAACGCUAAUACCGCAUACGUCCUACGGGAGAAAGCAGGGGACCGUUUCGGGCCUUGCGCUAUCAGAUGAGCCUAGGUCGGAUUAGCUAGUUGGUGAGGUAAUGGCUCACCAAGGCGACGAUCCGUAACUGGUCUGAGAGGAUGAUCAGUCACACUGGAACUGAGACACGGUCCAGACUCCUACGGGAGGCAGCAGCU
This 211-nucleotide ribosomal RNA is filed under the name uncultured Pseudomonas sp. RNAcentral's name for it is "partial 16S ribosomal RNA". It matches the Rfam family "Bacterial small subunit ribosomal RNA", at positions 145 to 355 of the family's 1533-position model. Lineage: Bacteria; Pseudomonadati; Pseudomonadota; Gammaproteobacteria; Pseudomonadales; Pseudomonadaceae. The record is from RNAcentral.